UGAGUCUCGGCCGUCAUGUCUGUAGAUGUUUACUUCUGUUUCCUUUUGCAGGCGAAAGAGUUCUGGUGGGGAGAAGAAAAAAGAGAGACCCUAAUUUUGAAGUCCGAAAGCUGAAGAAGACAAAACCCUAAAAACCCCGACCCAAUUUUUCGGAAUCAUAAGAAAACCCAGACGCUGAUUUUCGGAAUCCGCCGUUGGGCUCUCAAAGUUGGGCUUCUCUUUCGGCUUUGGUUUACACUGCUCGACAAACUCAGGAACAAUUGCGACUAGG
RNAcentral lists this long non-coding RNA (271 nucleotides) under Linum usitatissimum (flax). Its description in RNAcentral is "long non-coding RNA (LUSI_LNC002251)". Lineage: Eukaryota; Viridiplantae; Streptophyta; Magnoliopsida; Malpighiales; Linaceae. The record is from RNAcentral.